CAGUUAAAAAAGCUCGUAGUUGAAAUUUGGGACUUUAUUAUAUUGGUUUAUCUUUUUGAUGAACUGUAUAAUGGGUUUCUUCCUACUAGAGUUCGAUUCUGUUCUUAACUGAAUGGAGUAGCUAUCUUUCGGGGUGGUCAAUUGGUUGUUAUAUCUCCACUAAUAAGCAGAGAGGGGUUAAACCUUUGAAGUAAGUUAUGUGGAUCAAGGUAUGAUGAUUAAUUGGAGUUCUAGUUCAUUUACUUUGAGAAAAUUAGAGUGUUUAAAGCAGCCUCUUGGGGCACUGAAUACAUUAGCAUGGGAUAAUAAAAUAGGAUCUUCACAAUAUAUUUUAUUGGUUUAAAUUGCGUAUGAAGAUAAUGAUUAAUAGGGACAGUUGGGGGGUAUUCAUAUUGGGUGGUUAGCGGUGAAAUGCUCGGAUCCAUUCAAGAUGAACUAAAGCGAAAGCAUUUACCAAGGAUGUUUUCAUUAAUCAAGAACGAAAGUUAAGGGAUCGAAGACGAUUAGAUACCGUCGUAGUCUUAACUAUAAACUAUGCCGACCAGGGAU
RNAcentral lists this ribosomal RNA (549 nucleotides) under uncultured eukaryote. RNAcentral's name for it is "bacterial SSU rRNA". It matches the Rfam family "Eukaryotic small subunit ribosomal RNA", at positions 616 to 1053 of the family's 1831-position model. The record is from RNAcentral.